Molecule: long non-coding RNA, 2437 nt
Organism: Sapajus apella (tufted capuchin)
Lineage: Eukaryota; Metazoa; Chordata; Mammalia; Primates; Cebidae
Exons: 3
Source: RefSeq, a predicted model, not a curated record
GGCCUCCCAAAGUGCUGGGAUUACAGGCCUGAGCCACCAUGCCUGGCUACAUAAUUACAACAGGGAGUGCUCUUAACAGUUCUGGUCUCCUCGACCUCUUCCUCUUCCUAAGCAUUUCUCUUCUGCUUUGCAUCCCAGUCCCCAGUCCUGAUAAUGGGACUGGUAAGUAGAACUCUGCAAUAUGGGUCAGGAACAUCUACAGUUUAAGACAAGUAAAGAAUUGAUGGCAGCAGUGGCCCUUCUGGAGCGGCUACUGCGAUGAGGCCGGCUGUACUGGGGGAGGCGCGGACCGGGCUGCAAGCUCUGUGGAGCUGGCCAGAGCCCCACCCACUUCUGAGUUGGAGGGGCGGGAUCCCCAAGCUUUCAGGCAAGGCUGCAGCCAUACAGCCAUAGCUGCGGACCUGGACAUCCCUGUACUCUAGGAGGCCGGGAGGCCCCCCUCCCCCGGCAGGCUUGGAAGUGCCUGCUCCCGCUGCCUGGCCUCUCCCUCCUGGAGCCCACUCUGGGGCGGAGCAAAGUUGUGGCUGAGCCCAAGUGGUGUCUAGACCCAGCUAGGUGUGCUGUGCUUGUUGGGGGCGCUUCUGACAUGCCAGUCCCCUGCCACCUUGGCCCCCUCUAGACUUUGGGAACUGACAAGUGCAGGAGGGAGGCUGGUGGUGGGGGGCAGGGGACGCUGAGGACAGCUGAGUGCAAGCCUGCCGGCACUCCUCUGCAGGAACAGCCUGGGCGGGAUGGACGACCUGAUUGAUGGUAGCAGGAGGCAGACAGGCUCCUGGGCGGAAAGGGGUGGGUCCCCGGUGAAGCCCCACCGUCAAGCCCCCGGAGGCCUGAAGCUUGGGGGCCGAGCUGUCAGUUCCGCCUGAAGUCUGUGGCCGGGAGUGAGAACUUAGGUGCUUUUUCCGGGUCCGCCCAUGGCCGCCCCACGGACCAAUCAGCAUGCACUUCCUCUCUUCUCAUCCCGGCCAGACUCACACAGAUGCUGGGACUACCAGCGGUGGCAAGGAGCUGCCCAAUUCAGGUCUUCUUGACUCAUCAAGACGACCAGCCUGCGGAAGGGAGCUACCUACUCUGAGUCUCCUCUCCGUUGAGAGCUGGACCCUCACUGGGACAACCUGCCUGCGGAAAGGAGCUAUCCACUUCAGGUUUCGCGAGAGCUGCUCUGUCACUCAAUAAGGCUCCUCUCUGCCUUGCUUACCCUCUAGUUGUCCGUGGACCUCAUUCUUCCUGGAUGUGGGACAAGAACUCAGGACCUACUGAAUGAUGGGACUGAAAGAGCAGUAACACAAACAGGGCUGAAACACACCCUCUCCCCCCACCCCGACUUGACAUGUUGCGGGUGAUGUGAAGGAGAGAAGUGCUGUGGCCCUUCUGGGGUCCCAGACCUAGGGGCUCCCUGAGCCAGGGCUGUGAUACCCUCUUUGGAGCUCUGCGGUUUCUGGCAUCUUCAAACUUCUGGGCAGCGCUGCGUCCCCCUUGUCCAGACACAGUGCCCACAGCAGACACCGCUUAUGGUUCAUCAGAUCCAGCUGCAGACUUGCACGGAACCAGCACCUUUGCCAGUGCCUGGAGCUGCCCGCCCAGCUGCAGCAGCUGGUGUGUCUGGCUGUGCGCAGUGGCUAGACCCUGUGCUUGCUCACCCACACACCCCUUGCCACUCCAUGCCUGGCUAACCCUUGGCAGGUGUGGAAUCCUGGCUGGUAGCAUGAGCCAAGCACAGCCUGCUAGCCCAUGUCAGCGGAAUGAGUACCCUGGCCAGAUCAAAACUCAGUCAAAGGCACCACUGGUCACAGAGGUUUCCAGCUGGAAAAGCAACACCCGAAGGAUCUCGUGACACGAUCAACUUGCUAGGAGAUCCCUGCCACCCACAGAGGCUGCAGGAAGUUGCCUCCAUCCAGGCCUCUUCACAGAAGGGGAAUUGCAGAGACCGUAGGAUUUUUCUGCUCAUGAAAACAGAUGGUGUCUGGCCAGGAAAAUAAAAUGCUUCAAGCAAAGUGCCAUAGGGAUUAGAAUCCUGAUGAUCUGAGACUCUGAUAAUGACUCGGAUGAUUCCCAAUUCUAUGAUGAAUCAUUUCAGAAUGACUCUGAGAUGACAAUUCCUGAUUCUAUGAUGAUUGAGGCAGAUCUCAUUGGUUGGCAGAUCUACUUGGUAAAGCUGAGUCAUCAUAACACCAUCAUUUUCAGAGGAAAGCUGAAGCCAAAAGAAUUCACUAAAACUGUACUACGAGAAAUGCUAAAGGAAGUUGUUCAGACUGAUGGAAAAUUAUACCAGAUGGACACUUGAAUUUAUGCAAAGGAAUGAAGAGCACCAGAAAUGGCAAAUAUGUGUCUGGAGAAUUCUCAGAAGUUGGAAACUCUCCCUGUUUGAUCUUUGUCGUCUCAGGACCCAAUAUAAUACCUGACAUAUAGUAGGUGCUCAAUAAAUGAAUUAAAUGGAAUU